GUGAUUAAAUCGAGCGUGUCUUCAUUGACCGCUCACCCUUCUCACCAUCCACAUACACCUCUGCACUGUUUAGCCUGAGCCGGUUUUCCGGUCCAGGUUAUCAUUUCAUACAAACUCUAGUCUUAUGAAUGUAAACGUUUUAAUAAACAUAAUA
RNAcentral lists this unclassified non-coding RNA (154 nucleotides) under soil metagenome. RNAcentral's name for it is "partial internal transcribed spacer 1". The record is from RNAcentral.